Molecule: ribosomal RNA, 660 nt
Filed under: uncultured bacterium
Lineage: Bacteria
Description: bacterial SSU rRNA
Rfam family: Bacterial small subunit ribosomal RNA
Source: RNAcentral
AGUGGCGGACGGGUGAGUAACGCGUGAGAAUCUGCCUUGGGGUCGGGGACAACCACUGGAAACGGUGGCUAAUACCGGAUACGCCUUCGGGUAAAAGAUUUAUUGCCCUAAGAGGAGCUCGCGUCUGAUUAGCUAGUUGGUGAGGUAAGAGCUCACCAAGGCAGCGAUCAGUAGCUGGUCUGAGAGGACGAUCAGCCACACUGGGACUGAGACACGGCCCAGACUCCUACGGGAGGCAGCAGUGGGGAAUUUUCCGCAAUGGGCGAAAGCCUGACGGAGCAAGACCGCGUGAGGGAGGAAGGCUCUUGGGUUGUAAACCUCUUUUCUCAGGGAAGAAGCUCUGACGGUACCUGAGGAAUCAGCCUCGGCUAACUCCGUGCCAGCAGCCGCGGUAAUACGGAGGAGGCAAGCGUUAUCCGGAAUUAUUGGGCGUAAAGCGUCCGCAGGUGGCGAUUCAAGUCUGCUGUCAAAGCACGGGGCUUAACUCCGUAAAGGCAGUGGAAACUGAAUAGCUAGAGUGCCGUAGGGGUAGAGGGAAUUCCCGGUGUAGCGGUGAAAUGCGUAGAGAUCGGGAAGAACAUCGGUGGCGAAAGCGCUCUACUGGACGGCAACUGACACUCACGGACGAAAGCUAGGGGAGCGAAUGGGAUUAGAUACCCC